AUUGAACGCUGGCGGAAUGCUUUACACAUGCAAGUCGAACGGCAGCACGGACUUCGGUCUGGUGGCGAGUGGCGAACGGGUGAGUAAUGUAUCGGAACGUGCCCAGUCGUGGGGGAUAACGUAGUGAAAAUUACGCUAAUACCGCAUACGAUCUAUGGAUGAAAGCGGGGGAUCGCAAGACCUCGCGCGAUUGGAGCGGCCGAUAUCAGAUUAGGUAGUUGGGGGGGUAAAGGCCCACCAAGCCAACGAUCUGUAGCUGGUCUGAGAGGACGACCAGCCACACUGGAACGGAGACACGGUCCAGGCUCCUGCGGGAGGCAGCAGUGGGGAAUUUUGGACAAUGGGCGAAAGCCUGGACCAGCCAUUCCGCGUGCAGGAUGAAGGCCCUCGGGUUGUAAACUGCUUUUGUACAGAACGAAAAGGUUUCUACUAAUACUAGGAGCUCAUGACGGUACUGUAAGAAUAAGCACCGGCUAACUACGUGCCAGCAGCCGCCGUAA
This 500-nucleotide ribosomal RNA is filed under the name uncultured bacterium. Its description in RNAcentral is "partial 16S ribosomal RNA". It matches the Rfam family "Bacterial small subunit ribosomal RNA", at positions 30 to 523 of the family's 1533-position model. The record is from RNAcentral.